GAUUUUGGCCGUGUGGCUUCCAAUCAGGCACAGCUGUAGAGUGUUGUUGCAGAUUGGGAGUCACACAUAAGGAGCAUGUUUUUCCUUUGGGUUUUGUGGGUAAUUGUUUCUGUUAAGUGUUUUGCACCUGACAGGACUGUUUGGCUGUCCGUUUUCUCAUUUUGUUUUGUGUAGUGUUCUUUAUUAAAUUAAAAUCAUGAUGAACACUAACUCCGCUGCGUAUUGGUCCACUUUCUCAGACGAUGACUUCCCUGUUUCAUCUGAUGACGAAGACAGCCGUUACAACAAGAAGAUAAAACCAUGUGGUGCCCAAGCUUCUUCCUGCAGUGUAUUCUAGAUACAGAAACACACUUCCUUUGCCUGCAUGUGUCAUUGUAGCAGAACUGUAUCCCGUGAACUGUAUCCUUCUCGAGGGAUUAGACAUUAGGCUGGAUUUCAAGCAGAUGUCUCUCGAGUAGCUGAAUGGCAGUUGGAUCAUGACAACACUCCUCCCACAGCUUUACAAGUAUUCCCUGAACUUUCUGUAUGUUUUGUUGGAAUGGCAAUUUCAUCAUGACCACCUCUCCCAUCAUCUGCUGAUCACCAGUUCUCUUAGCUACAGAUUGGUUAAAUCACAAUAUCUGGAGUAUCACAGAAUUGUUAUCCAUUACUGGUAACUUGGUAACUUAGCUAGCGACCGGUAGCCAUAUCUAUGACUAAAGGGGUUUUAAAAUCAGCGCUCUUCUCAUCUUUGUUUACUUGUUUUAGUUACUAAACAGCAAGCUACAAUGUUACUACCAGCCACCUAAAGCUAGGUUUACCAGCAAACCUUAGCAUGUGACUGGUGUUGGCUAGCUAGUAUGCCUUGUACCUGCUAACUUAUGUAAUGUAAUUGACGAGGGUUAACAUUGAAAUGCAUCCAUGGUCAUAAUCAUAACCAAUCUCUCAAAAUUAUAGGCAUGAUGCAAGAUAGGAUUCCAAACAGACAAUAUUUUGCCUGGGCUUCAUCCUUGAGUGGAUUCUAGAUACAGAAACAUAAUUCCUUUGCCUGCACAUGCCUUUGUAGCAGAACUGUAUCCCCUGAACUGUAUUAGACAUUAGGCUGGAUUUCAAGCGGAUGACUCACAAGGAGCUGAAUGGCAGUUGGCGCUGCGUGAGUAGAGUUCCACAUAAUUUUAAUGAAUAAGUGAAACUUAGGCAAAGACAAAACAAAUAAAGAAUAAACGAACCGUGACGACAAUGCAGUGCUAACAUGCAACUAAACAUAAACAAUAUCCCAUAACCCACAGGUGGAAAAAAUACUACUUAAGUAUGAUCCCCAAUUAGAGACGGCGAUAGCCAGCUGCCUCUAAUUGGGAAUCAUACCAAACA
RNAcentral lists this long non-coding RNA (1350 nucleotides) under Salmo salar (Atlantic salmon). RNAcentral describes it as "lncRNA (ENSSSAG00000116193.1)". Lineage: Eukaryota; Metazoa; Chordata; Actinopteri; Salmoniformes; Salmonidae. The record is from RNAcentral.